This 861-nucleotide ribosomal RNA is filed under the name Triticum aestivum (bread wheat). RNAcentral's name for it is "partial small subunit ribosomal RNA". Lineage: Eukaryota; Viridiplantae; Streptophyta; Magnoliopsida; Poales; Poaceae. The record is from RNAcentral.
AUGCUGCCGCUGGUGAACAUGCAGGCUCCGCCGGGGAGAGAGAUCAGCAGGCAGCAGCAGAUGAUGACCAAGGUGUCCAUCUCCAUCCUGGUGAUGGCGCUGCCGGUGCUCUACGUCUCCGUCCUCCGCGUGCCGCCGGCCACGCUCUUCCGGGACACCACCUUCUGGUUCCUCAUGUCCAACUCCAUCAUCGUCGUCAUCGCCGCCGACUCCGGCAUGCUCUUCUUCGGCUCCUCCCCGUCCACCUCCCCCUGCGUCGACGACCGCCCCUUCGUCGUCUCCAACUACAACGGCGACGCAGCAGCGGUGCCGCCAAUGGUUAGCGUCUCCAGCGACGAGCCGCUGCUGCCUGUGGUGGUCGUCGAGGACCAACCGUUGGUUGUCGCGAGGGACGUCCUCCUCCAUGGCGACACGGCCGUGGACAGCCAUGCACACGCAUUGGUUGUACGAGGCGAAGAAGGUGUUCGGCCGAAGAUGGCCACGUCCGGCACACCGUCCCAUGCUUACGCCACCGGUGAGGGUGACGACGACGGCGUGACGGUGAAAGCCAGGCUGACGGCGAGCAGGAGCCUGGCGAGGGAGGAGAGGGCGGCGAGGAGGCGGCGGAGCAGGUCCCACUCGCACGCGCUCGUGCCCGACACGGUGGUGGUGCAGGACAAGAGCGUGGUCGUCGUGAGGGACGAGAAGCUCCGGCGCACGGCCACGGAGGGCCGGCGCCCGCCCACCGCCGCAGAGGAGGAGGAGAGCGAGUACUACGCGCGGCUCUCCGACGAGGAGCUCAACCGGAGGGUGGAGGACUUCAUCACCAGGUUCAACAGGGAGAUCAGGCUGCAGGUCGAGAAGGAGGAGCUGCAAGCCUGA